RNAcentral lists this ribosomal RNA (460 nucleotides) under uncultured bacterium. RNAcentral's name for it is "partial 16S ribosomal RNA". It matches the Rfam family "Bacterial small subunit ribosomal RNA", at positions 338 to 795 of the family's 1533-position model. The record is from RNAcentral.
CCUACGGGGGGCAGCAGUGAGGAAUAUUGGUCAAUGGACGAGAGUCUGAACCAGCCAAGUAGCGUGAAGGAUGACUGCCCUAUGGGUUGUAAACUUCUUUUAUAAAGGAAUAAAACGAGGCACGUGUGCCUUUUUGCAUGUACUUUAUGAAUAAGGAUCGGCUAACUCCGUGCCAGCAGCCGCGGUAAUACGGAGGAUCCGAGCGUUAUCCGGAUUUAUUGGGGUUAAAGGGAGCGUAGAUGGGUUGUUAAGUCAGUUGUGAAAGUUUGCGGCUCAACCGUAAAAUUGCAAUUGAUACUGGCAGUCGUGAGUACAGUUGAGGUAGGCGGAAUUCGUGGUGUAGCGGUGAAAUGCUUAGAUAUCACGAAGAACUCCGAUUGCGAAGGCAGCUUACUAAACUGCCACUGACAUUGAUGCUCGAAAGUGUGGGUAUCAAACAGGAUUAGAUACCCCGGUAGUC